GACGAACGCUGGCGGCGUGCUUAACACAUGCAAGUCGAGCGGUAAGGCCCUUUCGGGGGUACACGAGCGGCGAACGGGUGAGUAACACGUGGGUGACCUGCCCUCAGCUCUGGGAUAAGCCUGGGAAACCGGGUCUAAUACCGGAUAUGACUCCAUGACGCAUGUUGUGGGGUGGAAAGCCUUGUGCGGCUGAGGAUGGGCCCGCGGCCUAUCAGCUUGUUGGUGGGGUGAUGGCCUACCAAGGCGACGACGGGUAGCCGGCCUGAGAGGGCGACCGGCCACACUGGAACUGGAACACGGUCCAGACUCCUACGGGAGGCAGCAGUUAGGAAUUUUGCGCAAUGGGGGAAACCCUGACGCAGCAACGCCGCGUGGAGGAUGAAGGC
This 386-nucleotide ribosomal RNA is filed under the name uncultured bacterium. RNAcentral's name for it is "bacterial SSU rRNA". It matches the Rfam family "Bacterial small subunit ribosomal RNA", at positions 28 to 415 of the family's 1533-position model. The record is from RNAcentral.